Molecule: long non-coding RNA, 2514 nt
Organism: Ictalurus punctatus (channel catfish)
Lineage: Eukaryota; Metazoa; Chordata; Actinopteri; Siluriformes; Ictaluridae
Source: Ensembl
CAGACCUGAAAAACCAGCCGCCUCCUUCUCUCCGAUUCACCACAGUAGAGCGCGCCACACACACCUGUCAGCCAGGUACACACAACAAACUCGAACACGAUUUUCUCCAUGUCUUUCUGAUAAAUGGUCCUUUUUUCUUUGGUGUUCUUUUUUAAUCAGCCACACAGCCUUACUGGACUAUGCCCUGUUCUGUGGACUGAGGGGUUUGCACUGUGGGGAGACAUUUUUCCACAAGCAGGUGCGAUCGAACAGCACACUGGUGAAGAUGCAAGCCAACACAGCUUCUCCCGUGACCAACCUCACCACGGCCACGACCAAAUCGCGAGAACAAAUCCUCAUGCAGAGAAGAUGCACACAAGGAGGAUACUCAAUGGGACUUCCACCAAACCACGUAAAAACACGACCUCAACAACAAUGACGACACUGCAGAUGGAGAACAUGCGAGGCAGUGCCAACAUGCGAGGCAGCGCCAACAUGGGAGGCUUAGUACACUUGCCCAACAUCUCGGAGAACGGGUUCCAUUUACCACGAGCCGAGGUGGCUAACACGGCUGAACGAAUCAGCAUGAACAGUGGCUCCACUGUGGUCACGAUACAUAACACGCCAUCGAUCGAAAAUACGUAAAAAAACAAACAAAAAAAACAACAACCAAUAUGUGACUUCAAUGGGCUCCAUUGUGCUGUGUGAUGAGAAAACACACCCCCACAACGAACAAACUGAUCAGAGGAUGAUGACCAGGACAUGGAAAAACAAAAGACAGACCAAACAUUGAAUUACUGGCAUGUUGAGACAAACAUGAGCACCUCUGAAGGCCGAAUGUAGUCAAUGGACCACUGGGUCAGACUGUGGUCAAAUGGACCACAGGGACUCUCAGAGCUAAGCGUGGGCAAAUGGACCACUGGGGACAUUUAGGGUUCAUUAUAGUACUGAGAAAACCAUUCCACCAGGACCAGUGGCCAUUUCACCUAAUAACCCUACUUUGUGGUCUCUGGAAAAUGAAACUAUCCAGUUUUAUAAUAGGGACCUCACAUGUCAUGACUGAACAAGUAAUACAGUGUGUGGUAUCACAUAUAAACAGUUUCCUGUGAGUCCAAGUGCAAAGACAGUAAUAAAAAGAGUGAAGGUUGUAACGUGUAACUAUUGCACUAACAAUAACUGAUGUUUCCCUUUACUUAAAACUAAGAUCAACAGAAAACCCUUUUAGUCUAAGGGCAGUUGUUAAAUGGUCAGUAGAUGUUUAAUAUGCCACCACAGCAUUGCUGAAUUCUCGAACCAGAAGAAGCUGUAACAAACAAAAGGUGUAUAUUAACACAUCUGUGUACAUCAUUCUAAUAGGUUGUCGUUUCUAUAGCAACAGCUCAUUCACACAUUAAAAAUGUGUUGUUAUUUAAAUGUAGACUCAUUGAUCAUGUGAUGUUUUCUUGAGGAGACAUUUAUUUGAACAUGUUUGGAAGGAGUCUCCAGUGUCAGCACUUUGUAACAGUUUUCUGCCAUGUGAAAGUCUUCAGGAUGGAGGACUUUGCACAUUGAGAUUUCUUGUCUUAUUAACUUGAAGAGAAAUUGGGGGAAUAACUGUUUAGUAUUGUAAUGUAAGUGAUUAGUGCAUAUUAGCUGUGUUCGACUAGAACUCGUACACUGUAAUUCCCAACCUCCAGCCAAGAAAAGCUACUUGAAAACGCUACUGAAAAUAAUACACUCCACACGAAACUUCCCUCUUAUUCAUGUCGGGUCGUAUCGUAUCACACCCAGCUCAUGUUGAUUGUUUUCCUAUAAUAGCAUGGACGGUCAUGUUCUGUUCCUUACAUUUAACACAAUUUCAAAACCACAACACGAUAAAGGUCUUAUUAACAGACAAAAGUGGAAGUCUUAACAAAGCUGCUCUUAUGGAGUUUUGUCCAAAUUUCAAACACUAGAGUGAUACAGUUAAAAAUAUAUAUAUAUAAAUAAAUGAAUGAAAUGUUACUUACAUUUUCCCUGAGGUUUAUUAAUAUCUGUCCACAAUCCUGAGGAAACAGAAGAACUGUUCAUCAAAUUUAUACAUUUGACUGAAGAAUUCAUUAAAGCUCUCUACAUGUUAAAUGCAUACGUUUACUAUCACCCAUCUGACGCCCAACAGCCUCCCUAUGUUUUGUGUUUCACAUAAGAAUCUCUUGCUCUUUUCUCAGUAAAGAGAAACGUCAAAAUUGUCUAUGGUGCACAUUAUGGAUGUAGUAGAUAGGAUGUAGUGAGAGGAGAAAAAAAACAAACUCCGGAGCAUUUUAAGGCAGUAACUUGAUGUACAAGUUGGUGUUUACUUUAGAAUUUUGCACAUUCACAUGAUAUUGAGUAAAUGAAGCUUUUUAUGUUGUUGGGACAUUAAAAACAAAUGAAAUGAUUUGUGUGAAUUGUGCUGUUACUGGUUACACCUACUAAGAUUCCUGUACAAGUUCAACUUGUGUACCAUGGAGUCAUGGAACUCGAUUCUGAUUGGUCAGACGCGUGUUGAUGAAUUUUCUAUAAAAGGUUUUUAUUAAG